UUUAAACCCUAAAUAUGAUUUAAAUUUCUUAUAUCU
This 36-nucleotide transfer RNA is filed under the name Orobdella nakahamai. RNAcentral's name for it is "partial tRNA-Leu". Lineage: Eukaryota; Metazoa; Annelida; Clitellata; Hirudinida; Orobdellidae. RNAcentral also lists the same sequence under 2 other names. The record is from RNAcentral.